UGGGGAUUCGCCAAGCGGUAAGGCAACGGACUCUGACUCCGUCAUUCGGGUGUUCGAAUCACUUAUCCCCAGCCA
RNAcentral lists this transfer RNA (75 nucleotides) under Clostridiales bacterium. Its description in RNAcentral is "tRNA-Gln". It matches the Rfam family "tRNA". From Rfam's summary of the family: Transfer RNA (tRNA) molecules are approximately 80 nucleotides in length. Lineage: Bacteria; Bacillati; Bacillota; Clostridia; Eubacteriales. The record is from RNAcentral. RNAcentral also lists the same sequence under 1 other name.